CACUUUGAAACACCGGCUUCCGUAGGAUCACCGAAGUUGAGCAACGUCGAGUCUGGUCAUUACCUAGAUGGGUGACCACUUGGGAAUACUAGGUGUUGUAAU
Acanthosepion pharaonis is the source of this 102-nucleotide non-coding RNA. NCBI's taxonomy places the organism in Eukaryota, Metazoa, Mollusca, Cephalopoda, Sepiida, Sepiidae. The record is from the annotation of a GenBank genome assembly.